UCAGGCCUACGGGGGGCAGCAGUGAGGAAUAUUGGUCAAUGGGCGCGAGCCUGAACCAGCCAAGUCGCGUGAGGGAAGACGGUCCUAUGGAUUGUAAACCUCUUUUGUCGGGGAGCAAAAGACGCCACGUGUGGCGUUCCGAGAGUACCCGAAGAAAAAGCAUCGGCUAACUCCGUGCCAGCAGCCGCGGUAAUACGGAGGAUGCGAGCGUUAUCCGGAUUUAUUGGGUUUAAAGGGUGCGCAGGCGGAAGAUCAAGUCAGCGGUAAAAUUUCGGGGCUCAACCCCGACAAGCCGUUGAAACUGG
This 305-nucleotide ribosomal RNA is filed under the name uncultured bacterium. RNAcentral describes it as "bacterial SSU rRNA". It matches the Rfam family "Bacterial small subunit ribosomal RNA", at positions 333 to 636 of the family's 1533-position model. The record is from RNAcentral.